AAGCUCGUAGUUGAAUUUCGGGAUCAAAUUGUCGGUCGUGCCUCGGUACGUACUGGCGUUAUUGGUUCCUCCCUUCUGAAGAACCACGAUGUCAUUAAUUUGGUGUCGCGGGAAAUCAGGACUGUUACUUUGAAAAAAUUAGAGUGUUUAAAGCAGGCUCGUGCUUGAAUACAUUAGCAUGGAAUAAUGAAAUAGGACGUUUGAUUCUAUUUUGUUGGUUUCUAGGAUCGACGUAAUGAUUAAUAGGGAUAGUUGGGGGCAUUAGUAUUCAAUUGUCAGAGGUGAAAUUCUUGGAUUUAUUGAAGACUAACUACUGCGAAAGCAUUUGCCAAGGAUGUUUUCAUUAAUCAAGAACGAAAGUUAGGGGAUCGAAGACGAUCAGAUACCGUCGUAGUCUUAACCAUAAACUAUGCCGACUAGGGAUCGGAUGAUGUUAAUUUUUUAAUGACUCAUUCGGCGCCUUACGGGAAACCAAAGUGUUUGGGUUCCGGGGGGAGUAUGGUCGCAAGGCUGAAACUUAAAGGAAUUGACGGAAGGGCACCACCAGGGGUGGAGCCUGCGGCUUAAUUUGACUCAACACGGGGAAACUCACCAGGUCCAGACAUAGUAAGGAUUGACAGAUUGAGAGCUCUUUCUUGAUUCUAUGGGUG
This 650-nucleotide ribosomal RNA is filed under the name uncultured Glomus. RNAcentral describes it as "SSU rRNA". It matches the Rfam family "Eukaryotic small subunit ribosomal RNA", at positions 624 to 1276 of the family's 1831-position model. Lineage: Eukaryota; Fungi; Glomeromycota; Glomeromycetes; Glomerales; Glomeraceae. The record is from RNAcentral.